UAGUGAUUUGUUGUGACUUUUUUGAGCAUUUUUCUAACUCAAAAAUGAAUAAAACUAUUAAAAGUGGAGUGAGGGAGAUGUCGUUUCGCAUGAUUUCUAAAUUUGAAUAAAAACAACAGGAGAAAAACGCUGUAUUCAAACAGAAACAAUAUUGUUUACGUGUGGUGUUGAAUUUCAUAAGUUAGUAUGACACUUAGAAGUUGAUACAUUGUUUGAAAUCAAAAUCUGGUGGAUGUAGCAGGGGUUGAUGAGAUAGUGAAAACUAUUGAAAAACUGACUGGUUUGGAGCAAAAAGACAGGAUAAGAACCCAGAACUAAUACUUGGAUAAAAUAGCUUCAAUCACUGAAGUGAGUGUUACAACAUUAAAAAAAAUAAAAAAGGAAGGUACAGUAAAUGCAGGCGUCUGGAAUACCCCAGGGAAAAAACGGCCACAUAAGCUCACGACUUAGAUAAUUUCGAUAUAGAUGUUAUUCGUAACAAAAUUAACGAAUUUUACAUCGUUAGAAAACAAGUUCUUACGUUGAGAGUUCUGUUAAUGGAAUUAAGAGAAAGCAUUGGAUUUAAUGGAUGCAGAGAAACUCACUUAUUUGUCCAAUGGCUAUGAAUUUAAGAAAAAUAAGAAUAGGCGUUCAUUGUUAAUUGAACGUUAUGACAGAUCUGCCUGGAGACAUCGGUUUUUAAGAACCAUGUCUUUGAAACGUAGAGAAGGAAAGUCAAUAAUUUAUUUAUACGAGACCUAUGUUCAUAAAAACUACAAGCCCAAGAAGUCUUGGCAAGGUCCAUCUACAAGUGGUGCAAUUGAAAAUGUUUCGACAGGGAAAAGGUAUAUAAUUGUACAUGCUGGAUCAGAGAAAGGCCCUGUGCCAAACUCAUUGUUAGUCUUUAGCACUAAAUCCAAAAUGGCGGACUACCACCGCGACAUGAAUACUGUAAACUUUAAUAAAUGGCUAAGAGAAAA
This is a long non-coding RNA of Bombyx mori (domestic silkworm), 959 nucleotides long. RefSeq lists it as uncharacterized. The record is from RefSeq and is a predicted model, not a curated record. The transcript is spliced from 3 exons. NCBI's taxonomy places the organism in Eukaryota, Metazoa, Arthropoda, Insecta, Lepidoptera, Bombycidae.